GACGAACGCUGGCGGCGUGCCUAAUACAUGCAAGUCGAACGCUUCUUUCCUCCCGAGCGCUUGCACUCAAUUGGAAAGAGGAGUGGCGGACGGGUGAGUAACACGUGGGUAACCUACCCAUCAGAGGGGGAUAACACUUGGAAACAGGUGCUAAUACCGCAUAACAGUUUAUGCCGCAUGGCAUAAGAGUGAAAGGCGCUUUCGGGUGUCGCUGAUGGAUGGACCCGCGGUGCAUUAGCUAGUUGGUGAGGUAACGGCUCACCAAGGCCACGAUGCAUAGCCGACCUGAGAGGGUGAUCGGCCACACUGGGACUGAGACACGGCCCAGACUCCUACGGGAGGCAGCAGUAGGGAAUCUUCGGCAAUGGACGAAAGUCUGACCGAGCAACGCCGCGUGAGUGAAGAAGGUUUUCGGAUCGUAAAACUCUGUUGUUAGAGAAGAACAAGGACGUUAGUAACUGAACGUCCCCUGACGGUAUCUAACCAGAAAGCCACGGCUAACUACGUG
RNAcentral lists this ribosomal RNA (508 nucleotides) under uncultured bacterium. RNAcentral describes it as "partial 16S ribosomal RNA". It matches the Rfam family "Bacterial small subunit ribosomal RNA", at positions 28 to 507 of the family's 1533-position model. The record is from RNAcentral.